RNAcentral lists this ribosomal RNA (416 nucleotides) under uncultured Lachnospiraceae bacterium. Its description in RNAcentral is "bacterial SSU rRNA". It matches the Rfam family "Bacterial small subunit ribosomal RNA", at positions 349 to 782 of the family's 1533-position model. The record is from RNAcentral. Lineage: Bacteria; Bacillati; Bacillota; Clostridia; Lachnospirales; Lachnospiraceae.
CAGCAGUGGGGAAUAUUGCACAAUGGGGGAAACCCUGAUGCAGCGACGCCGCGUGAAGGAAGAAGUAUUUCGGUAUGUAAACUUCUAUCAGCAGGGAAGACAAUGACGGUACCUGACUAAGAAGCCCCGGCUAACUACGUGCCAGCAGCCGCGGUAAUACGUAGGGGGCAAGCGUUAUCCGGAUUUACUGGGUGUAAAGGGAGCGUAGACGGAUCUGCAAGUCUGGAGUGAAAGCCCGGGGCUCAACCCCGGGACUGCUUUGGAAACUGUGGAUCUAGAGUGCCGGAGAGGUAAGCGGAAUUCCUAGUGUAGCGGUGAAAUGCGUAGAUAUUAGGAGGAACACCAGUGGCGAAGGCGGCUUACUGGACGGUAACUGACGUUGAGGCUCGAAAGCGUGGGGAGCAAACAGGAUUAGA